UGGAAUCAAAUUUCACUGUUGCAUAUGUACCCUUUACAUGAUUGAUUACAUUCUACAUAUGCAUAACACUAAAUAUCAUACCUGCUCCCCACCUAAUAUUUAUUAUCAAACAGUGAACUAAUGUCUUUUUCUAAAUAUAAUAUUAAACACGAUAUUCAUCCUCACCCUCACUCUCACCCUCACCCUUUUUUCCCAUAUCAUUUAGAAUCAUGAGAGUUCAUAAAUCUUCAAUCCUAAUCAUUAUGCUCUUUCUCUUUAUACUAGCACUACUUCAUCUUUCAAGUUACAGACACAUUUCAAGGGGUGGCAAGGAAAAGAGUGAAGAAAGAACAAGAACCAUGUUCCCUUUUUCAUUCCCACAUGCUGCAGAAAUCAAAGACAAUAAGAAUAAGGUCAGUGAAUUUCAUCCUGUUUCACGUGCAAGUACUCCAGGUGGACCAAACCCUCUUCAUAAUUGAAAUAUAUAUCAUGAAGAUCUAGUACUAUAAAGAAUUCAUAGGAAGUUUCAUAGUAGUGGAAUGAUAAAUACCUAUGGAACCAAAAGUUACCUUAGUUUGCACUACAAGGUAUGUCAUUUCCUUUGGUAUAUGUAUCAAAGUAUAAUUGUAUCUAGUUGAGAAAAUUGCUUGCACUUAUGGGGUUUAUCUAUCAAUGUAUAGUAGAGGAAUUAUAAUGUACUUCUCCAAAUUCAUAGUGAAGUUGAAUAAGUUGAAUUAGAUUUGCAUUUCUGCAUUCUUUCUUAUUCCCUUAUAAUUGAAAUCCUGCAAAAAAGAGACAAAUUGAAGUAUCAAAGAGGGUCGUUCACAUAGUUACAUGUACAUUGAUUCCGGUUGCAUAAUAUUUAUAUUGUUUUUUACUUUUUACAUUAUUAUUAUAACACCUUUUUUUAUGAAAAACCCGGUACAAGAUAUAUAGGCCAAAUAAGGAAAUCGUGUAGUUAUGAUUGUUCCAAGAUCAAUAAAGGAAUGUUAGACAUGACUUCAGCUUCUAUUGUGUUGUGUCAAUCAACUUUUUU
RNAcentral lists this long non-coding RNA (1015 nucleotides) under Lupinus angustifolius (narrow-leaved blue lupine). RNAcentral's name for it is "long non-coding RNA (LANG_LNC001252)". Lineage: Eukaryota; Viridiplantae; Streptophyta; Magnoliopsida; Fabales; Fabaceae. The record is from RNAcentral.